This 467-nucleotide ribosomal RNA is filed under the name uncultured Magnetospirillum sp. RNAcentral describes it as "bacterial SSU rRNA". It matches the Rfam family "Bacterial small subunit ribosomal RNA", at positions 85 to 587 of the family's 1533-position model. The record is from RNAcentral. Lineage: Bacteria; Pseudomonadati; Pseudomonadota; Alphaproteobacteria; Rhodospirillales; Rhodospirillaceae.
UUCGGCCAUAGUGGCGCACGGGUGAGUAACGCGUGGGAACCUGCCCAGCAGUGGGGGAUAACUUCGGGAAACCGGGGCUAAUACCGCAUACGCCCUUAGGGGGAAAGAUUUAUCGCUGUUGGAGGGGCCCGCGUCCGAUUAGUUUGUUGGUGGGGUAAUGGCCUACCAAGACUACGAUCGGUAGCUGGUCUGAGAGGAUGAUCAGCCACACUGGGACUGAGACACGGCCCAGACUCCUACGGGAGGCAGCAGUGGGGAAUAUUGGACAAUGGGCGCAAGCCUGAUCCAGCAAUGCCGCGUGAGUGAUGAAGGCCUUAGGGUUGUAAAGCUCUUUCGGCGGGGACGAUGAUGACGGUACCCGCAGAAGAAGCCCCGGCUAACUUCGUGCCAGCAGCCGCGGUAAUACGAAGGGGGCUAGCGUUGUUCGGAAUUACUGGGCGUAAAGAGCACGUAGGCGGUUCGUUAAA